Favolaschia claudopus is the source of this 115-nucleotide non-coding RNA. The record is from the annotation of a GenBank genome assembly. NCBI's taxonomy places the organism in Eukaryota, Fungi, Basidiomycota, Agaricomycetes, Agaricales, Mycenaceae.
UCCGGAUUGGUGUAGGGGUUAACAUUGCCGCCUCUCAACCAGGAUUUAAACUUUGACUCCAACAUGAAUCCGGACGGAUUCGCGGCAGCCCGGGGUUCGAUUCCCCGAUCCGGAA